UUAAGCGACUAAGCGUACACGGUGGAUGCCCUGGCAGUCAGAGGCGAUGAAGGACGUGCUAAUCUGCGAAAAGCGUCGGUAAGGUGAUAUGAACCGUUAUAACCGGCGAUGUCCGAAUGGGGAAACCCAGUGCAAUUCGUUGCACUAUCGUUAACUGAAUACAUAGGUUAACGAGGCGAACCGGGGGAACUGAAACAUCUAAGUACCCCGAGGAAAAGAAAUCAACCGAGAUUCCCCCAGUAGCGGCGAGCGAACGGGGAGCAGCCCAGAGUCUGAAUCAGCUUGUGUGUUAGUGGAACGGUCUGGAAAGUCCGACGGUACAGGGUGAUAGUCCCGUACACCAAAAUGCACAGGUUGUGAACUCGAAGAGUAGGGCGGGACACGUGGUAUCCUGUCUGAAUAUGGGGGGACCAUCCUCCAAGGCUAAAUACUCCUGACUGACCGAUAGUGAACCAGUACCGUGAGGGAAAGGCGAAAAGAACCCCGGCGAGGGGAGUGAAAAAGAACCUGAAACCGUGUACGUACAAGCAGUGGGAGCACCUUCGGGUGUGACUGCGUACCUUUUGUAUAAUGGGUCAGCGACUUAUAUUCUGUAGCAAGGUUAACCGUAUAGGGGAGCCGCAGGGAAACCGAGUCUUAACUGGGCGUUAAGUUGCAGGGUAUAGACCCGAAACCCGGUGAUCUAGCCAUGGGCAGGUUGAAGGUUGGGUAACACUAACUGGAGGACCGAACCGACUAAUGUUGAAAAAUUAGCGGAUGACUUGUGGCUGGGGGUGAAAGGCCAAUCAAACCGGGAGAUAGCUGGUUCUCCCCGAAAGCUAUUUAGGUAGCGCCUCGUGAACUCAUCUUCGGGGGUAGAGCACUGUUUCGGCUAGGGGGUCAUCCCGACUUACCAACCCGAUGCAAACUACGAAUACCGAAGAAUGUUAUCACGGGAGACACACGGCGGGUGCUAACGUCCGUCGUGAAGAGGGAAACAACCCAGACCGCCAGCUAAGGUCCCAAAGUCAUGGUUAAGUGGGAAACGAUGUGGGAAGGCACAGACAGCCAGGAUGUUGGCUUAGAAGCAGCCAUCAUUUAAAGAAAGCGUAAUAGCUCACUGGUCGAGUCGGCCUGCGCGGAAGAUGUAACGGGGCUAAACCAUGCACCGAAGCUGCGGCAGCGACACUAUGUGUUGUUGGGUAGGGGAGCGUUCUGUAAGCCUGCGAAGGUGUGCUGUGAGGCAUGCUGGAGGUAUCAGAAGUGCGAAUGCUGACAUAAGUAACGAUAAAGCGGGUGAAAAGCCCGCUCGCCGGAAGACCAAGGGUUCCUGUCCAACGUUAAUCGGGGCAGGGUGAGUCGACCCCUAAGGCGAGGCCGAAAGGCGUAGUCGAUGGGAAACAGGUUAAUAUUCCUGUACUUGGUGUUACUGCGAAGGGGGGACGGAGAAGGCUAUGUUAGCCGGGCGACGGUUGUCCCGGUUUAAGCAUGUAGGCUGGUUGUCCAGGCAAAUCCGGAUAAUCAAGGCUGAGGUGUGAUGACGAGGCACUACGGUGCUGAAGUAACAAAUGCCCUGCUUCCAGGAAAAGCCUCUAAGCAUCAGGUAACAUCAAAUCGUACCCCAAACCGACACAGGUGGUCAGGUAGAGAAUACCAAGGCGCUUGAGAGAACUCGGGUGAAGGAACUAGGCAAAAUGGUGCCGUAACUUCGGGAGAAGGCACGCUGGUGUGUAGGUGAAGUCCCUGCGGAUGGAGCUGAGACCAGUCGAAGAUACCAGCUGGCUGCAACUGUUUAUUAAAAACACAGCACUGUGCAAACACGAAAGUGGACGUAUACGGUGUGACGCCUGCCCGGUGCCGGAAGGUUAAUUGAUGGGGUUAUCCGUAAGGAGAAGCUCUUGAUCGAAGCCCCGGUAAACGGCGGCCGUAACUAUAACGGUCCUAAGGUAGCGAAAUUCCUUGUCGGGUAAGUUCCGACCUGCACGAAUGGCGUAAUGAUGGCCAGGCUGUCUCCACCCGAGACUCAGUGAAAUUGAACUCGCUGUGAAGAUGCAGUGUACCCGCGGCAAGACGGAAAGACCCCGUGAACCUUUACUAUAGCUUGACACUGAACAUUGAGCCUUGAUGUGUAGGAUAGGUGGGAGGCUUUGAAGCGUGGACGCCAGUCUGCGUGGAGCCAACCUUGAAAUACCACCCUUUAAUGUUUGAUGUUCUAACGUUGGCCCCUGACCGGGGUUGCGGACAGUGUCUGGUGGGUAGUUUGACUGGGGCGGUCUCCUCCCAAAGCGUAACGGAGGAGCACGAAGGUUAGCUAAUCCUGGUCGGACAUCAGGAGGUUAGUGCAAUGGCAUAAGCUAGCUUGACUGCGAGCGUGACGGCGCGAGCAGGUGCGAAAGCAGGUCAUAGUGAUCCGGUGGUUCUGAAUGGAAGGGCCAUCGCUCAACGGAUAAAAGGUACUCCGGGGAUAACAGGCUGAUACCGCCCAAGAGUUCAUAUCGACGGCGGUGUUUGGCACCUCGAUGUCGGCUCAUCACAUCCUGGGGCUGAAGUAGGUCCCAAGGGUAUGGCUGUUCGCCAUUUAAAGUGGUACGCGAGCUGGGUUUAGAACGUCGUGAGACAGUUCGGUCCCUAUCUGCCGUGGGCGCUGGAGAAUUGAGGGGGGCUGCUCCUAGUACGAGAGGACCGGAGUGGACGCAUCACUGGUGUUCGGGUUGUCAUGCCAAUGGCACUGCCCGGUAGCUAAAUGCGGAAGAGAUAAGUGCUGAAAGCAUCUAAGCACGAAACUUGCCCCGAGAUGAGUUCUCCCUGAGACUUUAAGUCUCCUGAAGGAACGUUAAAGACGAUGACGUUGAUAGGCCGGGUGUGUAAGCGCAGCGAUGCGUUGAGCUAACCGGUACUAAUGAACCGUGAGGCUUAACCUUACAACGCCGAAG
Molecule: ribosomal RNA, 2912 nt
Filed under: Klebsiella pneumoniae
Lineage: Bacteria; Pseudomonadati; Pseudomonadota; Gammaproteobacteria; Enterobacterales; Enterobacteriaceae
Description: partial 23S ribosomal RNA
Rfam family: Bacterial large subunit ribosomal RNA
Source: RNAcentral